GAUGAACGCUAGCGGCAGGCCUAAUACAUGCAAGUCGAACGAGAUUAGUAGCAAUACUAUGAAAGUGGCGCACGGGUGCGUAACACGUAUGCAAUCUACCUUUAAUUGGAGAAUAGCCUCGAGAAAUCGGGAUUAAUACUCCAUAACAUUAUGAAGUGGCAUCACUUUAUAAUUAAACCUCCGGGGAUUAAAGAUGAGCAUGCGCAACAUUAGCUAGUUGGUAAGGUAAUGGCUUACCAAGGCUACGAUGUUUAGGGGGUCUGAGAGGAUGAUCCCCCACACUGGUACUGAGACACGGACCAGACUCCUACGGGAGGCAGCAGUAGGGAAUAUUGGGCAAUGGAGGCAACUCUGACCCAGCCAUGCCGCGUGCAGGAUGACGGCCCUCUGGGUUGUAAACUGCUUUUAUACGGGAANAAAACGCAUGGGUUAAUACCCUGUGUGGAUGACGGUACCGGAAUAAGAAGCACCGGCUAAACUACGUGCCAGCAGCCGG
This 496-nucleotide ribosomal RNA is filed under the name uncultured bacterium. Its description in RNAcentral is "bacterial SSU rRNA". It matches the Rfam family "Bacterial small subunit ribosomal RNA", at positions 28 to 518 of the family's 1533-position model. The record is from RNAcentral.